This 397-nucleotide ribosomal RNA is filed under the name uncultured eukaryote. Its description in RNAcentral is "SSU rRNA". It matches the Rfam family "Eukaryotic small subunit ribosomal RNA", at positions 587 to 972 of the family's 1831-position model. The record is from RNAcentral.
AGCUCCAAUAGCGUAUAUUAAAAUUGUUGCAGUUAAAAAGCUCGUAGUUGGAUUUCUGGUACGGCGCUCUUGGCCCGCUUCGGUUACGGAGUAGAGUGCCGACGGGCGCCUGCCAUCCUUCCAGUCAACGAACGGUAUCUCCCUUCACUGGGUUUAGAUGCCGUUGCGUCUGGAUCAUUUACUUUGAAAAAAUUAGAGUGUUUAAAGCAGGCUCACGCUAUGAAUACAUUAGCAUGGAAUAAUAAAAUAGGACUUUGGUCUUAUUUUGUUGGUUUCUAGGACUAAAGUAAUGAUUGAUAGGGAUAGUUGGGGGUGCUAGUAUUCAGCGGCCAGAGGUGAAAUUCUUGGAUUCGCUGAAGACUAACUUAUGCGAAAGCAUUCACCAAGGAUGUCUUCU